GUCUACGGCCAUGCCACCCUGAACAAGCCCAAUCCCGUCUGAUCUCUGAAGCUAAGCAGGGUUGGGCCUGGUUAGUACUUGGAUGGGAGACCACCUAGAAAGGCCAGGUGCUAUAGGCA
RNAcentral lists this ribosomal RNA (119 nucleotides) under Pteropus alecto (black flying fox). Lineage: Eukaryota; Metazoa; Chordata; Mammalia; Chiroptera; Pteropodidae. The record is from RNAcentral.